GCCAGGCAUAGUGGCGAGUGCCUGUAAUCCCAGCUACUCAGGAGGCUGAGGCAGGAGAAUCGCUUGAGCCUGGGAGGCAGAGGUUGCAGCGAGCUGAGAUCACACCUCUGCACUCCAGCCCAGGCAACAGAGUGAGACUCCGUCUCAA
Molecule: non-coding RNA, 148 nt
Filed under: Gorilla gorilla gorilla (western lowland gorilla)
Lineage: Eukaryota; Metazoa; Chordata; Mammalia; Primates; Hominidae
Source: Rfam by way of RNAcentral